GUCUAUAGCCAUGCCACCCUGAAUGUGGCCGAUCUUGUCUGAUCUAGGAAGCUAAGCAGGUUUGGGCCUGGUUAGUACUUGGAUGGGAGACCACCUAGGAAUACCAGGUGCUGUAGGCG
This 119-nucleotide ribosomal RNA is filed under the name Pteropus alecto (black flying fox). The record is from RNAcentral. Lineage: Eukaryota; Metazoa; Chordata; Mammalia; Chiroptera; Pteropodidae. RNAcentral also lists the same sequence under 1 other name.